CUCUGUAGUAACAUUUAAUGCCAGUUCCUGAUAAUCGUUUGAGUUAGGGUCUGAAUACGCUUCUAGGAAUGUACGGUUCAUUUUGAAUCCUAAUCCAAGUGAACCUUCAUUUCCAAUUGGUGAUGCAGCUGAGUAUAUAGUUGCUAAUGAUGCUGUUGUUGUUUUUAUAGUGGUUGUUGUGGCUGCGGCCGUGGUUGUUGUUUGAGUACUAGUGCUUGUUGUAGCAGCUUCAGUAGUUGUUGUGGGUGCAGCUGUGGAUGUUGUAUGAGCAGCUGUGGUAGUUGUGGUUUCUGCCGUGGUUGUUGUGGCUGCUGUCGUGGUUGUUGUGCUUGCUGUCGUGGUUGUUGUGGGGAUUGGUGUUGUCGUGGGAGCAGGUGUUGUAGUUGUGGUUUCUGCCGUGGUUGUUGUGGCUGCUGCCGUGGUUGUUGUGCUUGCUGUCGUGGUUGUCGUGGGAGCUGCAACUGUUGUCGUGGGAGCAGCCAUUGUAGUUGUUGUGUCUGCCGUGGUUGUUGUGGCUGCUCCGGUGGUUGUUGUGCUUGCUGUCGUGGUUGUUGUGGGGAUUGGUGUUGUCGUGGGAGCAGGUGUUGUAGUUGUGGUUUCUGCCGUGGUUGUUGUGGCUGCUCCAGUGGUUGUUGUUGCUUCUGCCGUAGUUGUAGUGGGAGCACCUGUUGUUGUUGUGGGUAAUGCGGUGGUUGUUGUGGGUGCGGUAGUGGUUGUUGUUUGAGUAGUAGUGCUUGUUGUAGCAGCUUCAGUAGUUGUUGUGGGUGCACCUGUGGAUGUUGUUGGAGCAGCUGUGUUAGUUGUGGUUUCUGCCGUGGUUGUUGUGCUUCCUGUCGUGGUUGUUGUGGGGGUUGGUGUUGUCGUGGGAGCAUCUGUGGUAGUUGUGGUUUCUGACGUGGUAGUUGUGGCUGCUGCCGUGGUUGUUGUGCUUGCUGUCGUGGUUGUUGUGGGGGCUGCAACUGUUGUCGUGGGAGCAGGUGUUGUAGUUGUGGUUUCUGCCGUGGUUGUUGUGGCUGCUCCAGUGGUUGUUGUUGCUUCUGCCGUAGUUGUAGUGGGAGCACCUGUUGUUGUUGUGGGUAAUGCUGUGGUUGUUGUGGGUGUGGCCGUGGUUGUUGUUUGCCUAGUAGUGCUUGUUGUAGUAGCGUCAGGAGAUGUCGUGGGUGCACCUGUGGAUGUUGUUGGAGCAGCUGUGUUAGUUGUGGUUUCUGCCGUGGAUGUUGUGGCUGCUGCCGUGGUUGUUGUGAGAGCUGGUGUUGUUGUGGUAGCAGCCGUGGAAGAUGUGGGUAGUGCUGUGGUUGUUGUGGGUGCGGCAGUGGUAGUUGUGGAAUCUGAUGUGGUUGUUGUGGCUGCUGCCGUGGUUGUUGUUGCUGCUGCCGUAGUUGUAGUGGGAGCACCUGUGGAUGUUGUUGGAGCAGCUGUGUUAGUUGUGGUUUCUGCCAUGGUAGUUGUGGCUGCUGCCGUGGUUGUUGUGCUUCCUGUCGUGGUUGUUGUGGGGGUUGGUGUUGUCGUGGGAGCAUCUGUGGUAGUUGUGGUUUCUGCCGUGGUAGUUGUGGCUGCUGCCGUGGUUGUUGUGCUUGCUGUCGUGGGAGUAGCCGUUGUAGUUGUGGUUGUUGUUUGAGUAGUAGUGCUUGUUGUAGCAGCUCCAAUAGUUGUUGUGGGUGCACCUGUGGAUGUUGUUGGAGCAGCUGUGGUGAUUGUG
Molecule: long non-coding RNA, 1699 nt
Organism: Esox lucius (northern pike)
Lineage: Eukaryota; Metazoa; Chordata; Actinopteri; Esociformes; Esocidae
Source: Ensembl